Long non-coding RNA from Myotis myotis, 1826 nucleotides. RefSeq lists it as uncharacterized. NCBI's taxonomy places the organism in Eukaryota, Metazoa, Chordata, Mammalia, Chiroptera, Vespertilionidae. The record is from RefSeq and is a predicted model, not a curated record. The transcript is spliced from 2 exons.
CUUUAAUAAUUCUUCAAUAUUCUGACCAAUACCAGAGUGGGCCUUUUGUACCCGCAUCUUAUGGUUUUCAUCCAACUGUUUCUUUAGGAUAAGUACUUUUAAAACUGCAAUGGCUGGAUCAAAAUGCAUGCACAGUUGUUAUGUUUUUUAUAAAUAUUGACAGAUCACUUCUGGAAAGUUCUCUGUGUCAACUUCCAUUAGCACUAACGAGCUAUAAAAGUGCUUUGCCCACCCCAGAACGGUUUAUAUAUUCAUUAUUUGCCAAUAUAUAAAAAAAGGAACUACAGUGCUUUUCAUUUGCACUUCCCUAUAGUUUUAUGCUGUGAAAGAGGGAAAAAUAUUACCCACAUCUCAAGAUUUUGUGCGUGUGAAAUAAAAUAGCGGUAAUAAUAUAAAAGUAUCACGGAGCUAUCAUUGUGGAACAGUCGCCAGGUAAAGUGAGAUCCUGGCCUUAUUUCCCUGUAUUUUCCCAACAUUGUGAAAUCCUUUCAUGGCCUCAGUUUCCUCUUCUGCAAAAUAGAGCCUAUGAGAGUACACACCUCCAGGAUUGCUGGAGAGUGAAUAAAACAAUCCUCCGAAUGAGAUCAGAGCCCUGGAAAGGCUGGGAGAGGCGGAGCUGUUUGCUUAAGACUCUGCAGCCUGCCAGCGGCUGGUGUCAACUUCAGAGAAUAAACUGACUCCACCCCUUGUCCCGUUUACCCAGCCCUAUUCAGAUUACAAGGCCUCCCUGCCCUUGGCCAUCGUCGCCCCGAGGAAAGCUGAACUACCCAUCAGGAGGGCUGUAAAGAGCCAGUGAUGGUCACAUGCCACCUCUGCCCUUUGACCAACACUCUCAGCCUGUCAACUUUGUCCGACACUGGAGACAUUUGGGACAUCACGCCUGCCCUUUCACUCUGGGGGAGACCGAGGCCUGGAGGAAGAAGGCUGCCGGGCCCACCUGGCCAUCCCCUGCAACCGGGGGAGGCCGAAGAGUCUUUGAGGCAGUGAAGGAGGCAGUCGGGGGACGAUGGUGGUGAAAGGAGGCAGGAAGGGUAAGAGGGUGUAGAGGCUGAGGCUCAGGUAGGGCCUCCAGCAGACCCCCACCCACCAGGGGCUGGGAGUGUGUGUGGGUCCUCGCCCAAUGUCCCAGUGCAGGCACAGCACGCCCUCUUGGCAGCCUGAUGCUCUUUCUGGGCCCCCACCUCGGCUGCCAUGGAGGGGAGGCCCAGGAGGCCCGGGGCAGCCUCUGGAGUGGGUGGGGUCCUCAAGGCAGGCAGAGCGGGCCUCUCCGGAGACAGGGCGUGGGGGCUGCUGCAGCCCAUGGCAUCCACCGACGCAUCUGGGGAUGCGGACUCGUCCUGGCCCACAGGCACACUGUCUGCUGGCUGUGCCAAGGGCAUUUCCUCUCCGUCCACCUCGGUGGAUGCGUCUUGGCCAUCGACAUCCAACGGUUCCUCCGCUGGGGAUGCAUGCUGAGCCAUGAAUAAUUCCUGCACCUCAACUGCACCCAGGGCAGAGGACGCCGCCUCCUCCUCCUCUUCAUCCAGCGUCAGCUCGAACUGGAACUUAUCAGGGGGCGUUGGGUGGUCCGGCCCCUCCGGCUCCUCCUCGAGCGGCGGCGACGGGCUCUGCCGCAUGGCGCUGUAGUACCAGUCCCGGUUGUCUUCCAGGGUGUCUAGGAUCUCCUGGGCGUCCGGGUGGACCAAGUCGGCCCAUGUCUCCCACAGCGGGUGCACAAUAUAGUCGAUGAACCCCACCUGGGGAAGGGAGAAGAAGGAUGAACCUGUGGCCGCAGUGGUAAAGACGGCCCCGCCAUGCUGAGGGAUCUAAUAAAAGUUAAAUGUUGA